CACUCCUGCGGGAGGCAGCAGUGGGGAAUAUUGCACAAUGGGCGCAAGCCUGAUGCAGCCAUGCCGCGUGUAUGAAGAAGGCCUUCGGGUUGUAAAGUACUUUCAGCGGGGAGGAAGGCGAUAAGGUUAAUAACCUUGUUGAUUGACGUUACCCGCAGAAGAAGCACCGGCUAACUCCGUGCCAGCAGCCGCGGUAAUACGGAGGGUGCAAGCGUUAAUCGGAAUUACUGGGCGUAAAGCGCACGCAGGCGGUCUGUCAAGUCGGAUGUGAAAUCCCCGGGCUCAACCUGGGAACUGCAUUCGAAACUGGCAGGCUAGAGUCUUGUAGAGGGGGGUAGAAUUCCAGGUGUAGCGGUGAAAUGCGUAGAGAUCUGGAGGAAUACCGGUGGCGAAGGCGGCCCCCUGGACAAAGACUGACGCUCAGGUGCGAAAGCGUGGGGAGCAAACAGGAUUAGAAACCCGUGUAGUCCCAU
This 473-nucleotide ribosomal RNA is filed under the name uncultured organism. RNAcentral's name for it is "partial 16S ribosomal RNA". It matches the Rfam family "Bacterial small subunit ribosomal RNA", at positions 334 to 798 of the family's 1533-position model. The record is from RNAcentral.